CCUACGGGAGGCUGCAGUGGGGAAUUUUGCGCAAUGCUCGUAAGAGUGACGCAGCGACGCCGCGUGAAUGACGAAGGCCUUCGGGUCGUAAAGUUCUUUCGACAGGGAAGAAAAUGCAUAUAAGUAACUGUGUAUGUAUUGACGGUACCUGUAUAAGCAGCCCCGGCUAACUCCGUGCCAGCCGCCGCGGUAAUACGGAGGGGGCGAGCGUUGUUCGGAGUGACUGGGCGUAAAGAGCACGUAGGCGGUGUUGUAAGUCAUUAGUCAAAGACUAGAGCUCAACUUUAGUAAGGCUAGUGAUACUAUAAUACGAGAGUAUCAGAGAGGAUUGCAGAAUUCCUGGUGUAGCGGUGAAAUGCGUAGAUAUCAGGAGGAAUACCGUUAGCGAAGGCGGCAAUCUGGCUGGAAACUGACGCUGAGGUGCGAAAGCGUGGGUAGCAAACAGGAUUAGAUACCCCGGUAGUC
RNAcentral lists this ribosomal RNA (465 nucleotides) under uncultured bacterium. RNAcentral describes it as "partial 16S ribosomal RNA". It matches the Rfam family "Bacterial small subunit ribosomal RNA", at positions 338 to 795 of the family's 1533-position model. The record is from RNAcentral.